UGCGUAGGCGGUCUGGUAAGUCAGCGGUGAAAUUUAGGGGCUCAACCUCUACCGUGCCGUUGAUACUGUUAGGCUGGAAUGCGGAUGCCGUGGGAGGAAUGUGUGGUGUAGCGGUGAAAUGCAUAGAUAUCACACAGAACACCGAUUGCGAAGGCAUCUCACGAAUCCGCUAUUGACGCUGAUGCACGAAAGCGUGGGGAUCAAACA
RNAcentral lists this ribosomal RNA (207 nucleotides) under uncultured bacterium. Its description in RNAcentral is "partial 16S ribosomal RNA". It matches the Rfam family "Bacterial small subunit ribosomal RNA", at positions 568 to 774 of the family's 1533-position model. The record is from RNAcentral.